UGGGGAAUAUUGGACAAUGGGCGAAAGCCUGAUCCAGCCAUGCCGCGUGAGUGAUGAAGGCCUUAGGGUUGUAAAACUCUUUCGCCGGGGAAGAUAAUGGCGGUACCCGGAGAAGAAGCUCCGGCUAACUUCGUGCCAGCAGCCGCGGUAAUACGAAGGGGGCUAGCGUUGUUCGGAUUUACUGGGCGUAAAGCGCGUGUAGGCGGACUUGUAAGUUGGGGGUGAAAUCCCGAGGCUCAACCUCGGAACUGCCUCCAAAACUACAAAUCUGGACCUAAGUAGAGGCAAGUGGAAUUGCGAGUGUAGAGGUGAAAUUCGUAGAUAUUCGCAGGAACACCAGUGGCGAAGGCGACUUGCUGGACUUAUGGUGACGCUGAGACGCGAAAGCGUGGGGAGCAAACAGGAUUAGAUACCCCCGUAGUCCCUGAGCGGGCUGGCAAGGCGCAU
This 447-nucleotide ribosomal RNA is filed under the name uncultured bacterium. RNAcentral's name for it is "bacterial SSU rRNA". It matches the Rfam family "Bacterial small subunit ribosomal RNA", at positions 355 to 825 of the family's 1533-position model. The record is from RNAcentral.